AGUUUUACAAUAACGAGAUUUUUUUUUACAGUGAAAGGCUCUACAAUAACGUGAGACGUUAGGGUUCCGACGCUCCGGUGAAUCUCGAUUCUUCUUGAAGCUUCGUUUUCGCGGAAUCUGGGAGGUGAAUUUGAUUGAUUUUUCAUCGCAUCGGUGAAAUUGAGCUGUUGCUUAUCCGGAUUUGUGGUGAUUGAGCGAUAUGGAGGUCGUUAAAUCUAAGUACAGGGAGGAGGAUUUGGAGGUGGAGGAGGAGGAGGAUGAUUUGAAGAGCAGUCGGAGGGACCGUGAUCGGAGUAGGGAGAGGAAGAAGGAGAGGGGUUCGGAUAAGCGCCGGGAGAAGGAUAGACGCAAGAGGCGGUCUGAGAGAGUUAAGAGUAGUGAUGAAUCUGAAGAUGAGUACUACGAUAGAGGUGGUGAUGAUGAUGAUGAAGAGAGGGAGAGGCCUAAAGAGAAGGAGAGGAGGCGGAGGGAUAAAGAGAAGGGGAAGAGACGGUCAGAGAGAAGGAGGAGUAGUGAUUCUGAGGAUGAGGAUGAAGAAGAUGGUGAGAGGGAUAAACGCCGGGUGAAGGAGAAGGAGAGAGGACACAGAGAACAUAGGGAGAAAGAUCGGAAAAGGGAUAGAGAGAGGGAAGAGAGAAAGGAGAAAGAAAGAGAGAGGGAGAAGGAUAGAGUUAGGAGGGAACGGGAACGAGAGGAGCGUGAGAAGGAGAGACUGAAAGAAAGAGAGAGGCGCGAGCGGGAACGGGAAGAUGGAGAGAGGGAUAGGAAAGAACGUGAGAAAGAAAGGGGUAGGAGGCACCGAGAAAGGGGGAGAUCAAGGGAGGAUGGGAAUGAGGAGAGUGAUGAUGAUGUCAAGCGUGACCUGAAACGUAGGAGAAGAGAGAGUGGAGAACGGAAGGAGAAGGAGCGUGAGAAGAGUGUUGGUAGAUCUAGCAGGCAUGGAGAUGACAAUGUGGAUAGUCCAAGGAAAAAGAGUGUCGAGGAGGAUGGUGAAAAGAAAGAGAAAAAGACCAGGGAAGAAGAACUAGAGGAAGAGCAGAAGAAAUUGGAUGAGGAGGCUGAGAAACGGAGGAGAAGAGUUCAGGAGUGGCAAGAGUUGAAGAGGAAGAAAGAGGAAGCUGAAAGUGAAAGUAAGGGUGAUGCGGAUGAUAAAGAGCCUAAGACCGGUAAGGCUUGGACUCUUGAUGGGGAAUCUGAUGAUGAAGAAGGGCAUCCGGAGGAAAAACCAGAAACAGAGAUGGAUGUUGAUGGAGAGACUAAACCCGAAACUGGUGCAGAUGCCAAGAUGGUAGACGCGGAGGAGAACGAGAUAGUUACUACCGUCUCUGAAGUAGAAGGUGAAGGAGCUGCAGAUGAAGAGGAAAUUGAUCCUUUAGAUGCUUUUAUGAAUUCGAUGGUAUUACCCGAGGUUGAGAAGCUUAGCAGCAGUACUCCUCCAGCAGUUGAAGAUAGUAGUUUGGUUACUAAGAGUAAUGGAAAGAAAAUUGAUCACCAGCCGAAGAAAGGUUUUAACAAAUCCCUUGGCAGGAUAAUGCAAGGUGAAGAUUCUGAUUCUGAUUAUUCAGAACCAAAGAAUGAUGAUGAUCCAAGUUUAGACGAAGACGAUGAGGAGUUCAUGAAGAGAGUAAAGAAGACAAAAGCAGAAAAAUUGGCUCUUGUUGACCACUCAAAAAUAGAGUAUGAACCUUUCCGGAAGAACUUCUAUAUUGAAGUGAAGGAGAUCUCAAGGAUGACACCAGAAGAAGUUAACGCUUACAGAAAGGAAUUUGAGCUGAAAGUCCAUGGAAAGGAUGUACCAAGACCCAUAAAAUCUUGGCACCAGACUGGACUAACCAGCAAAAUUUUGGAUACCAUGAACAAGCUUAAGUAUGAAAAGCCAAUGCCUAUCCAAACGCAAGCACUUCCAAUCAUCAUGAGCGGUCGAGAUUGCAUUGGAGUUGCAAAAACCGGAUCAGGUAAAACGCUAGGUUUUGUUUUGCCUAUGUUGAGGCAUAUCAAGGAUCAGCCUCCCGUUGAAGCUGGUGAGGGGCCAAUUGGGCUUGUAAUGGCACCUACUAGGGAGCUUGUUCAGCAGAUUCACAGCGACAUCAAAAAGUUUUCAAAGCCAUUGGGUAUAAGAUGUGUUCCUGUGUAUGGAGGAUCAGGAGUUGCGCAGCAAAUUAGUGAGCUGAAGCGAGGGACAGAGAUUGUUGUGUGCACUCCUGGGAGGAUGAUUGAUAUUCUUUGCACAAGCAGUGGGAAAAUCACCAAUCUGCGGAGAGUCACAUUUUUGGUAAUGGAUGAAGCUGAUCGUAUGUUUGACAUGGGGUUUGAGCCUCAAAUUACUCGUAUUAUUCAAAAUAUUCGACCUGAUCGGCAGACUGUGCUCUUUUCUGCUACUUUUCCACGUCAAGUUGAAGCUUUGGCACGUAAAGUCUUGAACAAACCUAUUGAAAUACAGGUUGGUGGAAGGAGCGUUGUGAAUAAGGAUAUAUCACAGUUAGUUGAAGUCAGACCGGAGAGUGAGAGGUUCUUAAGACUGCUGGAACUUCUUGGAGAAUGGUAUGAGAAAGGAAAGAUUUUGGUUUUUGUGCAGUCGCAGGAAAAAUGUGAUGCCUUGUUGAAGGAUUUGUUUAAAAGGAGUUAUCCUUGUCUAUCUCUUCACGGUGGUAAAGAACAGUCUGAUCGUGAAUCAACUAUAUCUGAUUUUAAGAGCAAUGUGUGCAAUAUUUUGAUUGCCACAAGUGUUGCAGCUAGGGGUCUAGAUGUGAAAGACCUUGAGUUGGUUGUAAACUAUGAUGCUCCGAACCACUAUGAAGAUUAUGUGCAUCGCGUUGGCAGGACAGGAAGGGCAGGGCGGAAAGGCUGUGCUGUGACAUUUAUCUCCGAAGAUGAUGCAAAAUAUGCACCGGAUUUAGUCAAGGCCCUGGAACUUUCCGAGCAGCCAAUCCCCGAUGAUCUGAAAGCAAUCGCUGACGGUUUCAUGGCGAAGGUGAGACAGGGUACUGAGCAAGCUCAUGGAACUGGCUAUGGAGGUAGUGGCUUUAAAUUCAACGAAGAGGAGGAAGAAGUUAGGAAAGCAGCAAAGAAAGCACAAGCGAAGGAGUAUGGGUUUGAGGAAGACAAGUCUGACUCAGAAGAUGAGAAUGAUGUAGUAAGAAAGGCAGGUGCUGUCGGUGGUGAUACCUCUCAACACCAAGCUGCUCUUGCUCACAUAGCCGCCAUUGCUGCGGCUGCUAAAGCUAAUGCUGCUGCAAUGAAUGCUCCUGUGACUUCAAACCAGUUGCUGCCAAAUGGUGGCGGGAUUACCUCUCUACCUGGUACCCUUCCGGUUUCUAUUCCAGUCCUUCCUAAUGAUGGGGCAGGCCGUGCUGCAGCCAUGGUUGCUGCCAUUAACCUGCAACAUAACCUGGCGAAGAUUCAAGCUGAUGCAAUGCCUGAACACUAUGAAGCAGAACUGGAGAUCAAUGAUUUUCCACAAAAUGCUCGUUGGAAGGUCACCCACAAAGAAACUUUGGGUCCAAUAUCGGACUGGACUGGAGCCGCCAUUACCACUAGAGGUCAGUAUUAUCCUCCUCCACGUAUCCCACCACCUGGGGAACGCAAGCUCUACUUGUUCAUUGAAGGGCCUACGGAAAAAUCUGUGAAGACGGCGAAAGUUGAACUCAAGCGUGUUCUUGAAGACAUUACAAAUCAGUCGUUGUCACUUCCUGGGGGAUCGCAGGCUGGAAAGUACUCCGUCAUAUAAUGAAAGCAGCCAUGAGGUGGUCUGUUAAGUGAUUCAAAGCGCACAGUUUAUUUUGUUUAACAAGUAUUAUUAUUGGAUUACUAUUGUGGAAUACACUCUCUGCACAAUUUCCGAAUCUUUUCUUAUGAUAGACUUGAACUUGGUGUGACAGUUCUUAUAAUGCUUGUUGUUGCUCAUACUUCUAGAUCUCUCCUCUUUUAAUUAUAUUCCCUCUCUUUUUUGUUUGUUUGUUAUGUUUAAACAAUGGCUUCGAUGGAUUUGCUAAUGCGCAUUACCGUAUGGUGGUAAUGGCUGUAAAAGGAUGGGUAAAAUCUAGCUUUGAUGCAGUUGUUGUGUUUGGGAAAAAAAUUGUGAAACGAUGAAGCUCCCUGGGAGAACAGUUCAAAGCUUUUGCCUCUGCAAUGGGUAAGAUGUCUUGGAGAGUUGGUUCAGUUUUUGUGCCUAUGAUGGGAUCAUCAGCCUGAGUUAAUGGUAAAAGGUGGUGUUUGCAUAGUACAUCGGAUCUGUGAUCAAAAUAGUUGGAAGUAAAAAAACUCUUGUAUGAGAGUACAUACGUGGUCGUGUAGACAAUCGAGAAUCUUGGUCCACAAAAAUGGUUUAUUGCCGAAUUCAAUUCUGUGACGGCGCUUUUAAUACGUGUUGCGUCCAAAGACCAUGUUAGAUAACCAUGCCAAAUGGGGACAUAAACCUUAAGCGAUGUUCUUGAAAGGCCAAUGUACCUGUUUUGUUGUUGUGAGAGUGUCUGAAACA
Raphanus sativus (radish) is the source of this 4477-nucleotide RNA transcript. It is a transcript of the gene named DEAD-box ATP-dependent RNA helicase 42, with no coding region annotated. The record is from RefSeq and is a predicted model, not a curated record. The transcript is spliced from 4 exons. Lineage: Eukaryota; Viridiplantae; Streptophyta; Magnoliopsida; Brassicales; Brassicaceae.